UAGGCUGGGUGUGGAAGUGCAGUAAUGCAUUAAGCUAACCAGUACUAAUUGCCCGUACGGCUUGUCCCUAUAACCUUAGCAGGU
This 84-nucleotide ribosomal RNA is filed under the name Janthinobacterium violaceinigrum. RNAcentral describes it as "Janthinobacterium sp. FT13W partial 23S ribosomal RNA". Lineage: Bacteria; Pseudomonadati; Pseudomonadota; Betaproteobacteria; Burkholderiales; Oxalobacteraceae. The record is from RNAcentral.